GCUGGGCGCAGUGUCGUGUGCCUGUAGUCCCAGCUACUCGGGAGGCUGAGGCUAGAGGAUCGCUUGAGUCCAAGAGUUCUGGGCUGUAGUGUGCUAUGCUGAUCGGGUGUCCCCACUAAGUUCAGCAUCAAUAUGGUGACCUCCCAGGAGCGGGGGAACCACCAGGUUGCCUAAGGAGGGGUGAACUGGCCCAGGUCCGAAAUGGAGCAGGUCAAAACUCCUGUGCUGAUCAGUAGUGGGAUCAUGCCUGUGAAUAGCCACUGCACUACAGCCUGGGCAACAUAUCGAGACCUUGUCUCU
This 300-nucleotide signal recognition particle RNA is filed under the name Aotus nancymaae (Ma's night monkey). RNAcentral describes it as "Metazoan signal recognition particle RNA (ENSANAG00000008735.1)". It matches the Rfam family "Metazoan signal recognition particle RNA". From Rfam's summary of the family: The signal recognition particle (SRP) is a universally conserved ribonucleoprotein. It is involved in the co-translational targeting of proteins to membranes. The record is from RNAcentral. Lineage: Eukaryota; Metazoa; Chordata; Mammalia; Primates; Aotidae.